AAGGGAUUAGAUACCCCUGUAGUCCUGGCCGUAAACGAUGAACACUAGGUGUCGGGGGAAUCGACCCCCUCGGUGUCGUAGCCAACGCGUUAAGUGUUCCGCCUGGGGAGUACGCACGCAAGUGUGAAACUCAAAGGAAUUGACGGGGGCCCGCACAAGCGGUGGAGUAUGUGGUUUAAUUCGAUGCAACGCGAAGAACCUUACCAGGGUUUGACAUCCUGCGAAUCUCUUGGAAACGAGAGAGUGCCUUCGGGAGCGCAGAGACAGGUGGUGCAUGGCUGUCGUCAGCUCGUGUCGUGAGAUGUUGGGUUAAGUCCCGCAACGAGCGCAACCCACGUCUUUAGUUGCCAGCAUUUAGUUGGGCACUCUAGAGAGACCGCCGGUGAUAAACCGGAGGAAGGUGUGGAUGACGUCAAGUCAUCAUGCCCCUUACAUCCUGGGCUACACACGUACUACAAUGCUACGGACAAAGGGCAGCAAGUUCGCGAGGACAAGCAAAUCCCAUAAACCGUGGCUCAGUUCAGAUCGUAGGCUGCAACUCGCCUACGUGAAGGAGGAAUCGCUAGUAAUCGCAGGUCAGCAUACUGCGGUGAAUACGUUCCCGGGCCUUGUACACACCGCCCGUCACACCAUGGAAGUUGGCCACGCCCGAAGCCGUUACUCCAACCCUCGGGAGGAGGACGUCGAAGGUGGGGCUGAUGACUGGGGUGAAGUCGUAACAAGGUAACCGUA
Molecule: ribosomal RNA, 732 nt
Filed under: uncultured bacterium
Lineage: Bacteria
Description: bacterial SSU rRNA
Rfam family: Bacterial small subunit ribosomal RNA
Source: RNAcentral